AUUACAAGAAUUUGUCAUCUUUUCAGUGAAUUGUUUAUUCUUACAUAAUAUGCGAAAGCCCCUCCUUUGGUAUAAAAAUACUGGAUUUCCCUCUCUGACUCUAAUGGGAAUGAGAUCCUUCUUCUGCGGCCUGACUAGAGUUGCUGGAACAGGUUAUCUCUCUUUGGCUUUUUCUACUUUCCCAAGUUAUUAGAGACAAUCAGGAAUCACUGCAGCAAUCCUGGCCCCCCAAAGACCUUAUUAUCCAAGAAGUUUGUUGUUGAAGGGUAGGAAAUUGAUAUGGUUUGGCUGUGUCCCCACCUAAAUCUCAUCUUGAAAUGUAGCUCCCACAAUUCCCACGUGUUGUGGGAGGGACCAGGUGGGAGGUAAUUGAAUCAUCAGGGUGGGUCUUCCAGGUGCUAUUCUCGUGGUAGUGAAUAAGUCUCACAAGAUCUGAUGGUGUUAUAAUCACCUGCUUCCUCUUUUGCUUGGCUCUCUUUCUCUCUCUCGCCUGCUGUGAUGUAAGACAUACCUUUCACCUUCUGCCAUGAUUGUGAAGCUUCCUCAGCCAUAUGGAACUGGAACCUGAUGGAAUAAACUGCUGUGAGAGGGAGUAUUGAAAGUAUACCUUUGUAAAUACAAUGGAGAAGAGCAAGUAUUCAACGCGUGGCUCAGAGGAGCCAUUUCCUCAUCAUAAAGAUGCAGUAGCCAUAAUUAUUCCAAUCAUCCAAAAGAGAAGACUUUAAAGUACAGUAGUUAGCCAUCAAAAAGAGAAGGCUAAUAUCCAGUUAUGAGAGCAUUUUCCCAAGAUACUUCUCCCCUGGACCUUGUUCCCAGGCUCCGUGUGAAGCUGAACACUCCGCAUGAUCUCCCUGCCACCAUAGCAAGCUAUGAAGUUCAUUACACAUGCAGGUAGCAGACAAUACAGCUCUGCUUCCAUUUCUGAGCACCUACGGUAGACUGCCAUUAUUCAGUGUGCCAGCCUGUUUCCAAGCCUACAAUGUAUAGUUCCUCUAGUACGUAAACUCAUUUUUUUUCUCAGAGAGCCAAGUAGAGACACAGGCAGUUUUCUUCUCAAAAUGUGCCAGAAAUUCCAAAACAAUCUCAAAGCAUUAAAGGCUAUGUGCACAAAGUACAUGCAGUUGUAGAGUCCCUCUUUUGCAGAAACUUGCACCUCAGCCCACCAGCAUUUCCUUGGUGCUUCUCCUCCUGACCCUCAUCCUCAUGCACAGACCAUUGGAUAUUACUGCACUCACGUACUUGUGUACUUCUUUCUAACAGCUGACUGAAAUCUUUCCUACAUUUUCAGGGUGAUGGGCAGAAAGUUUUUCUCAGGAAACAUUGUAGGGAAGCUGGCAGGGGACAGUUAUAUAUAUGGGGAGGGUCACAUUCUAUUAUUCAUGGGUUUCCG
This 1390-nucleotide long non-coding RNA is filed under the name Homo sapiens (human). RNAcentral's name for it is "HSALNT0041333". The record is from RNAcentral. Lineage: Eukaryota; Metazoa; Chordata; Mammalia; Primates; Hominidae.